GAUGAACGCUGGCGGCGUGCCUAAUACAUGCAAGUCGAGCGAACAGACGAGGAGCUUGCUCCUCUGACGUUAGCGGCGGACGGGUGAGUAACACGUGGAUAGCCUACCUAUAAGACUGGGAUAACUUCGGGAAACCGGAGCUAAUACCGGAUAAUAUAUUGAACCGCAUGGUUCAAUAGUGAAAGACGGUUUUGCUGUCACUUAUAGAUGGAUCCGCGCCGCAUUAGCUAGUUGGUAAGGUAACGGCUUACCAAGGCAACGAUGCGUAGCCGACCUGAGAGGGGGAUCGGCCACACUGGAACUGAGACACGGUCCAGACUCCUACGGGAGGCAGCAGUAGGGAAUCUUCCGCAAUGGGCGAAAGCCUGACGGAGCAACGCCGCGUGAGUGAUGAAGGUCUUCGGAUCGUAAAACUCUGUUAUUAGGGAAGAACAAAUGUGUAAGUAACUAUGCACGUCUUGACGGUACCUAAUCAGAAAGCCACGGCUAACCACGUG
Molecule: ribosomal RNA, 497 nt
Filed under: uncultured bacterium
Lineage: Bacteria
Description: partial 16S ribosomal RNA
Rfam family: Bacterial small subunit ribosomal RNA
Source: RNAcentral